AUGGGGUGCGCGCACGGCAAGUGCUGCCUGCCGCGGGGGCGGCGGGAAGGCGGUGGCGUGCCCGGCGGCCGCGGCGGCUCCACCCUCGGCCGCGCCGUGGUGCUGGGCGCGGGCCUGGCGCUGUAGUACGCCACGCUGACGGUGGACGGCCACUACCCGGACUCCCCGGGCCAGGCGUCGCAGGAUGCGUACCUCGUGGUCAUGCGCUUCGCGGGCGUCCCCGAUCUCCACCUCUUCGCGGUCUUCGACGGCCACGACGCCUGCGGAGCCGCCAGCUCCGGGUGCGCGUGGGACGGGCUCCCCCGCCUCCUCCUCCUCCUCGCGGCCGAGGACCCCGCGGCGGUGUUCCGGGUGGCUAUGGUCGGGGUCAACGAGGAGAUGCACGCGGCGGCGGCCGUGGACGACUCCAUGAGCGGGGCCACCGCCGUCGCGGCGCUCAUGGCCGGCGGCGCGCUCCAUGUGGCCAACGUCGGGGACUCGCGCGCCAUGGCCGGGGUCUGGCGCGACGGCCGCGUCGCCGCCGACGAGCUGUCGUGGGACCAGGCACCGUUCCGCGCCGACGAGCGUGCGCGCGUCAUGUCCGUCGAGCAGGUGGAGGGCGUCCACGACCCCGAGGCCGAGGGCUAG
This 627-nucleotide ribosomal RNA is filed under the name Triticum aestivum (bread wheat). RNAcentral describes it as "partial small subunit ribosomal RNA". The record is from RNAcentral. Lineage: Eukaryota; Viridiplantae; Streptophyta; Magnoliopsida; Poales; Poaceae.